CCUGCCUGAAUCCUUUUGUGUAGACAAAUCCGCUGAAGCCCUGCAGUUUUGUCUUAAUUUCUGGCUAGAUAAAAUUUGAUAGCGAUUGUGAGUUUUUGUGUAUUCCAAACUAAAAGCUAAAGGCUUGCUGUCACAGUGG
Small nucleolar RNA from Drosophila melanogaster (fruit fly), 139 nucleotides. The record is from Ensembl. NCBI's taxonomy places the organism in Eukaryota, Metazoa, Arthropoda, Insecta, Diptera, Drosophilidae.